This 450-nucleotide ribosomal RNA is filed under the name uncultured bacterium. RNAcentral's name for it is "partial 16S ribosomal RNA". It matches the Rfam family "Bacterial small subunit ribosomal RNA", at positions 354 to 796 of the family's 1533-position model. The record is from RNAcentral.
GUGGGGAAUUUUGGACAAUGGGCGAAAGCCUGAUCCAGCAAUGCCGCGUGCAGGAUGAAGGCCCUCGGGUUGUAAACUGCUUUUGUACGGAACGAAAAGCCUGGGGCUAAUAUCCCCGGGUCAUGACGGUACCGUAAGAAUAAGCACCGGCUAACUACGUGCCAGCAGCCGCGGUAAUACGUAGGGUGCAAGCGUUAAUCGGAAUUACUGGGCGUAAAGCGUGCGCAGGCGGUUUUGUAAGACAGUGGUGAAAUCCCCGGGCUCAACCUGGGAACUGCCAUUGUGACUGCAAGGCUAGAGUGCGGCAGAGGGGGAUGGAAUUCCGCGUGUAGCAGUGAAAUGCGUAGAUAUGCGGAGGAACACCGAUGGCGAAGGCAAUCCCCUGGGCCUGCACUGACGCUCAUGCACGAAAGCGUGGGGAGCAAACAGGAUUAGAUACCCCUGUAGUCC